Small nuclear RNA from Molossus molossus (Pallas's mastiff bat), 103 nucleotides. The record is from RefSeq and is a predicted model, not a curated record. Lineage: Eukaryota; Metazoa; Chordata; Mammalia; Chiroptera; Molossidae.
GUGCUCACUUCAGCACCGACAGUAAAACUGGAACGAUGCCGAGAAGACGAGCAUGGCCUCCGGCAAGGAGGACACUCAAGUUCAGGAAACGGUCCAUAUUUUU